This 253-nucleotide ribosomal RNA is filed under the name uncultured bacterium. RNAcentral's name for it is "partial 16S ribosomal RNA". It matches the Rfam family "Bacterial small subunit ribosomal RNA", at positions 524 to 776 of the family's 1533-position model. The record is from RNAcentral.
UACGUAGGGCGCAAGCGUUGUCCGGAAUUAUUGGGCGUAAAGAGCUCGUAGGCGGUUUGUCGCGUCUGCCGUGAAAGUCCGGGGCUCAACUCCGGAUCUGCGGUGGGUACGGGCAGACUAGAGUGAUGUAGGGGAGACUGGAAUUCCUGGUGUAGCGGUGAAAUGCGCAGAUAUCAGGAGGAACACCGGUGGCGAAGGCGGGUCUCUGGGCCGAAACUGACGCUGAGGAGCGAAAGCGUGGGGAGCAAACAGG